GCCAGGCAUGGUGGUGCAUGCCUAUAGUCCCAGCUAUCAGGAGGAUGAGGCAGUAGGAUUACUUGAGCCCAGGAGUUCUCGGCUGUAAUGUGCUAUACCAAUCGGUUUGUCUGCAGUAAGUUUGACAUCAACAUGGUGACCUCCUGGGAGCAGGGGACCAUCAGUUGCCUAAGGAGAAGUGAACCAGCCCAGGUCGGAAACAAGCAGGUCAAAACUCCUGUGCUGAUCAGUAAUGGGAUCACACCUGUGAAUAGCCAUUGCACUCUAGCCUGGGCAACACAGCGAGACCCAUCUCA
Molecule: signal recognition particle RNA, 296 nt
Filed under: Microcebus murinus (gray mouse lemur)
Lineage: Eukaryota; Metazoa; Chordata; Mammalia; Primates; Cheirogaleidae
Description: Metazoan signal recognition particle RNA (ENSMICG00000029983.2)
Rfam family: Metazoan signal recognition particle RNA
About the family: The signal recognition particle (SRP) is a universally conserved ribonucleoprotein. It is involved in the co-translational targeting of proteins to membranes.
Source: RNAcentral